GUGCAUGUUGUGUUGUGGUUAUCACAUCCGCCUAACACGCGGAAGGUCCCAGGUUCGAUCCCUGGCAGGCACA
This 73-nucleotide transfer RNA is filed under the name Ixodes scapularis (black-legged tick). RNAcentral describes it as "tRNA-Val". It matches the Rfam family "tRNA". Rfam says of the family: Transfer RNA (tRNA) molecules are approximately 80 nucleotides in length. Their secondary structure includes four short double-helical elements and three loops (D, anti-codon, and T loops). The record is from RNAcentral. Lineage: Eukaryota; Metazoa; Arthropoda; Arachnida; Ixodida; Ixodidae.